AUUGAACGCUGGCGGCAUGCCUUACACAUGCAAGUCGAACGGCAGCACGGGUGCUUGCACCUGGUGGCGAGUGGCGAACGGGUGAGUAAUACAUCGGGACAUGUCCUGUAGUGGGGGAUAGCCCGGCGAAAGCCGGAUUAAUACCGCAUACGAUCUACGGAUGAAAGCGGGGGCCCUUCGGGCCUCGCGCUAUGGGGUUGGCCGAUGGCUGAUUAGCUAGUUGGUGGGGUAAAGGCCUACCAAGGCGACGAUCAGUAGCUGGUCUGAGAGGACGACCAGCCACACUGGGACUGAGACACGGCCCAGACUCCUACGGGAGGCAGCAGUGGGGAAUUUUGGACAAUGGGCGAAAGCCUGAUCCAGCAAUGCCGCGUGUGUGAAGAAGGCCUUCGGGUUGUAAAGCACUUUUGUCCGGAAAGAAAUCCUUGGCCCUAAUACGGUCGGGGGAUGACGGUACCGGAAGAAUAAGCACCAGCUAACUACGUG
Molecule: ribosomal RNA, 486 nt
Filed under: uncultured bacterium
Lineage: Bacteria
Description: partial 16S ribosomal RNA
Rfam family: Bacterial small subunit ribosomal RNA
Source: RNAcentral